ACAAUCCAUGACCACCAACUAGAUAAAUAGCCCCACAUCACCAUAACAACCUCUACUACCUCUACCUUUCGUGCCUCUAGUAAUACCCCUACCCUCACAGUUGUAUUAUGAGUAGCCCUAAAAAUAUGAUGGGAAUAAUCAUUAGCCAAAUGGUUAGUCUCAUUACAUAAAUAACAAGCUUUAAACUUUCUUUAAUGGCCAC
RNAcentral lists this long non-coding RNA (202 nucleotides) under Capsicum annuum. RNAcentral's name for it is "long non-coding RNA (CANN_LNC008711)". The record is from RNAcentral. Lineage: Eukaryota; Viridiplantae; Streptophyta; Magnoliopsida; Solanales; Solanaceae.